Molecule: ribosomal RNA, 490 nt
Filed under: uncultured bacterium
Lineage: Bacteria
Description: partial 16S ribosomal RNA
Rfam family: Bacterial small subunit ribosomal RNA
Source: RNAcentral
AUUGAACGCUGGCGGCAGGCCUAACGCAUGCAAGUCGAACGGUAACAGGAAGAAGCUUGCUUCUUUGCUGACGAGUGGCGGACGGGUGAGUAAUGUCUGGGAAACUGCCUGAUGGAGGGGGAUAACUACUGGAAACGGUAGCUAAUACCGCAUAACGUCGCAAAACCAAAGAGGGGGACCUUCGGGCCUCUUGCCAUCGGAUGUGCCCAGAUGGGAUUAGCUAGUAGGUGGGGUAACGGCUCACCUAGGCGACGAUCCCUAGCUGGUCUGAGAGGAUGACCAGCCACACUGGAACUGAGACACGGUCCAGACUCCUACGGGAGGCAGCAGUGGGGAAUAUUGCACAAUGGGCGCAAGCCUGAUGCAGCCAUGCCGCGUGUAUGAAGAAGGCCUUCGGGUUGUAAAGUACUUUCAGCGGGGAGGAAGGGAGUAAAGUUAAUACCUUUGCUCAUUGACGUUACCCGCAGAAGAAGCACCGGCUAACUCCGUG